UUCCCUUCCUUUUUUGUUAGCAAUUGUAGAACGUAAAUUAAAGCUUUAUUUGGACGCUUUUUAGUUGUUCGGAGUAGAUCCAUUAUGUUGCCUUCGUUAAUUGAUAAUGAGAGCUUUACGUCUGGCCCGGCGCAAACCUCUUAUAUGUGGGAUUAUUCUAAAAGCUGAAUGUCGAUAUUUAAUGCAACACCGGAAAUAAUAUAAUAGUUGUUUAUGACCCUUUCUCGUGUUUAGAUUAGUUUUAAUUACAGAAUAAAGCAAUAAUAUCGGCCAGAAUGGCUACGAACAGACUCGUAGAAUGGGUCAACGCGCUUAUCACACGAUUCGAAGAACAGCUUCCGUGUCGUGCUGGACCCCAAACGACUCAUUCAAGGAUAAACGAAGAACAAAAUCAAAUUUGCCUUAUAGAAAUUAGUCGCUAUAAAUUCUCAUUAGUUAUCUCAGGGCUAACUAAAAUUUUACAACGCGUCAAUGAGAGUUAUGUAACAGCCAUUUCAAAACCUCAUGAAAAAGACUUUGAGCGGAAUUGUUAUGAAUCCCUGCUCAUAGUUUUAGAUACUCUCGAACAAUGUCUUUCCUUUUUGCCAAAAGAUACGACACGCUUUGAUGAAGCAAUGAAUGUAAAAUUACUGUUGAGAGAACUCUGUCAGUUUUUAGAUCCUAGCGAUAAUCCUCAUGCAAUGCAAUUGAAAACAUUAGCAACUAAAGUUUUAUUUGCAUUAAGUCUAAACUUCUUUAAUGCUGUUUUUAAAAGAAUUUCAGCAAGGCUUCAAGAACUAAGUGCCUGCAAUGAAGAAAAUCCUGAUUACACUGAUAUCGAAUUGAUUCAAUAUAUCAAUGUUGAUGUAGUAAAACUCACCCAGCUCUUAAAUGAAACAAUUCCUAAAUUUAAGUCACUGAAAAAAUCUGCACACCAAGUUUUAAUGACUUCGUUAGAAAGAGCCAUUUGGAAUUGGAUGGAUACGUAUCCUGAAGAGUUCUCCAAAGUACAGCAAAAAAUAAAUGAUGAAUUAGCAAAAAGCGCUGAUUUGUUAUUUGACACAUUAGACCAAACUGUUGACAAUAAAAAAUGUAGAGUUUCAUCAUGGCCUCUACAGAUUAUGCUGUUAAUAUUAUCACCGAGAGUCUUUGAAGAGAUAUUAAAUGCUGAUGCUGGUGCACCUUGUUCCCCGAGGCACUCAAGGAAAAAAUCAUUCAUUGAAUCAGUGAAAAAAUCAAUUUCAUCCCAUACAAGUAAACAGCUAACAGAAGCAGCUGCAAUAACUUGUGUAAAGUUAUGUAAAGCAUCCACUUACAUAAAUAAAAACUCGGUUAAUGUUGUUUUUCAACUUGUUCAAUAUAUUAUUAAUGAUUUAAAGGCACUUUUGUUUAAUCCCGCGAAACCAUUUCCGCGUGGACAAAAUAUGGUUGUCCAUGAUAUCGAUUUAAUGAUUGACUGUUUUGUAUCUUGCUUUCGAAUUAAGCCGCACAACAAUGAAGCGCUUAAAGUUUGCUUAAACCCUCAAGCCCCAUGUACAUAUCAUUAUGUGCUGGUCAGCUCUUUGUACAGGAUAAUAACACAGACAAGUUUACACUGGUGGCCUCAAAUCGAUUUGGUCUACAGUAAAUCUUCAGAACUGCGCUCUAUGUUUACAGAUACUUUGAAUAAAGCAACUCAAUGUUUUAUGACCCAAACGCCUCUCAGAGUUAUACAGUCUCUAACUAUGAAGAGCAAGGAUUCUGUUCCAAAAUUUAAAGAAAGAAAUGAAGAAGCUCCUGGGUACCGUGCUCUUUUGCUUCGAAUGGUUCGCUUGAUACAUGCUGAUCCUAUGCUUAUGUUGAAUAAUCAAGGAAAGGCUGGUCAUGAAAUUCAAAGUUCAACUCUGGAGUUAAUCAACGGUUUAGUUAGCUUAGUACACCAUCCAACAAUGCAUGAUAUAGCUCAUGAAGCUAUGGAAGCACUACUGGUAUUGCACCAACCAGAAAAAAUAGAAGUUUGGAAUCCAGAAGCUCCAAUAAACACUUUCUGGGAUGUAAGUUCUCAAGUGCUUUUUUCAAUAUCCCAGAAACUUAUUCAACACCAAAUAGUGAACUACACCGAUGUAUUAAAAUGGUUGAGGGAAAUUUUGGUCUGUCGAAAUGAGUUUUUGUCUCAUCACAAGGAUUAUGCAAAUGUUGGGAGCCACAUAGCAAUUUGCAAACAAGCCCAUAUUAAACUUGAGGUUGUUUUCUUCAUGUAUCUUUGGAGCACGGAUAUUGAAGCAGUCUUAAUAGCAAUGAGCUGUUUUGCGCUGCUCUGUGAAGAAGCAGAUAUACGCUGCACUACAGAAGAUAUAACAGUUACAACAUUAUUACCCAAUUAUCACUUAUACCAAGAUUUAGCACAGGCUUCUACCAUUCUUACAACAGCAAGUGGAGAUUCUCGUCUAUAUUGCAGGGAACAAAACCAUGGACGAGCAGUGCUGCAAAAACGAAUUAUGGCACUACUUAGAAAAAUAGAACAUUGUGUCAAUGGUGUUCAACCAGCAUGGGAAGAAACUUUCAGAAAUUGGGAAAUCGGGACAAAAUUUUUGACAUCCUAUCCUAAAACAAAGCUCGAAGAUGGACAGUUGGAGCCAUUUCAUCGAACAGCUGGAAAACGUCGAGCUUCUCAUCAAAAUUCAGAUCACGAACUGGAGGACCAAAUCAAUGAAUGGGCCAACAUGACCGGGUUUUUAUGUGCCCUUGGUGGCGUAUGCCUACAAAGAAAAUCUCCAGUUCGGCCUAUGAGCAAUAUGAAUGAUGUCAGAAAAAAUACAAUUCUUCCCAAUCCUACCCAGGAGAUACAGUAUUGCCCUGUCACUCAAUUCAUUGGCCAUCUGCUUCGUUUGUUAGUUUGUAACAAUGAAAAGUGCGGUGGACAGAUUCAAAAACACGUAAAAGAACUUGUGGGACAUGAAAUGUCUGCUGCAUUAUAUCCAAUACUAUUUGAUCAAAUCAAAUCAGUUGUUGAAAAAUUUUUUGACCAACAAGCUCAAGUUAUUGUAUCUGAUAUAAAUACACAGUUCAUUGAACAUAUUAUAUUCAUAAUGAAAAAUGUAUUAGAUAGUAAAAGUGACCAACCUGCAGACCAUCUUGGAGUUACAAGCAUAGAAGGAAUGAUGUUAGCUAUAGUAAGAUAUGUCAGACAUUUGGAUAUGACAGUUCAUGCCAUCCAUAUUAAGACUAAACUAUGCCAACUGGUAGAAGCCAUGAUGAAAAGGAGAGAUGACCUUGCAUUCAGGCAAGAAAUGAAAUUCCGCAAUAAACUCGUCGAAUAUCUCACGGACUGGGUAUUAGGAACGUCCCAUCAGAUUGCUCCCCCAGGCUCUGGUGAUGCUUCUAUUAUUACCAGAGAUUUAGAUCAAGCGUGCAUGGAAGCAGUAGCUGCACUCUUACGUGGUCUUCCAUUGCAACCUGAGGAAUCAGACCGAGGAGAUUUAAUGGAAGCAAAGAGUCAGUUAUUCCUAAAGUACUUUACUUUGUUCAUGAAUCUACUGAAUGACUGUAGUGAAGUGCCAGAUGUAGCGAAAGAUGUGUCAAGACAGCGGGUAUCUGAUGGCAAACUUACAACUUUAAGAAAUUCGACAAUUCAAGCAAUGUCAAAUCUACUUUCUGCAAAUAUUGAUAGCGGUCUAAUGCACAGUAUUGAUCUGGGCUACAACCGAGACCUACAAACAAGAGCCGCUUUCAUGGAAGUUUUGACUAAAAUAUUACAACAAGGCACUGAGUUUGACACGUUAGCUGAAACUGUGCUAGCUGAUCGAUUCGAACAACUUGUUCAAUUGGUUACCAUGAUAAGUGACAAAGGAGAACUCCCAAUUGCUAUGGCGCUUGCAAAUGUAGUUACAACAGCACAAAUGGAUGAACUAGCAAGGGUUUUUGUAACCCUUUUUGAUGCGAAACACCUACUGGCUCCAUUAUUAUGGAACAUGUUUUAUCGUGAAGUUGAAGUAUCAGACUGUAUGCAGACGCUAUUUAGAGGGAAUUCUUUAGGUUCGAAAAUUAUGGCGUUUUGCUUUAAAAUCUAUGGUGGGACAUAUUUGCAAAAUUUAUUAGAACCUCAUAUAAGGCCUCUAAUUGAGGCCACUCCACCAUCACUGGAAGUUGAUCCUGCGAGAUUAGACCCAGCUGAAAAUAUAGAUCAAAACAGGCAGAAUCUUAUUCAAUUGACUCAAAGGGUAUUUGACUCUAUUAUCUCUUCAGCUGACAGGUUUCCACCCCAGCUGAGAAGUAUGUGUCAUUGCUUGUAUCAAGUUCUUAGCAAACGGUUCCCACAAAUUCCUCAAAAUAAUAUAGGUGCUGUAGGGACAGUCAUAUUUCUGCGUUUUAUUAACCCUGCAAUUGUGUCUCCACAAGAAAUGGGAAUCGUUUCAAAGAUUGUACCUCAGUCAGUUAAACGAGGACUUAUGCUGAUGUCAAAAAUAUUACAAAACAUCGCCAAUCAUGUUGAAUUCAGCAAAGAGCAGCAUAUGAUCCCAUUCAAUGACUUCCUAAUAUCACAGUUUGAGAGAGCUCGAAGAUUCUUUAUUCAAAUUGCAUCAGACUGUGAGACAGAGGAUCAAGGAUCACAUUCCAUGUCUUUCAUUAGUGAUUCCAAUGUUUUGGCACUCCAUAGGCUUCUUUGGAAUCAUCAAGAAAGGAUCGGUGAUUAUCUGUCAAGCAGUAGAGAUCACAAAGCUGUUGGGCGGAGACCUUUUGACAAAAUGGCAACUCUUCUUGCCUACUUAGGCCCACCAGAACAUAAACCUGUUGACUCGCACUUGAUGUUUUCCUCCUACCCUCGUUGGGGAUCAAUUGAGAUGUCAGGAAACAAUUUUGAGGAAAUCAUGGUUAAACACAACAUGCACGAAAAAGAAGAAUUUAAAUCAAUCAAAUCAUUGAAUAUAUUUUAUCAAGCAGGAACAUCGAAGGCUGGUUAUCCUGUCUUCUAUUACAUAGCUCGACGUUAUAAAAUUGGGGAGACUAAUGGUGAUUUGCUGAUAUAUCAUGUCAUACUAACAUUAAAGCCGUUUUGCCAUGCUCCAUUUGAAAUUGUUGUGGAUUUCACUCAUACAUGUUCUGACAAUCGCUUCAGAACUGAUUUCUUACAAAAAUGGUUUCAUGUUUUACCGGAUAUGGCUUACGCUAACAUCCAUGCUGCAUACAUUUAUAACUGUAACAGUUGGGUCCGAGAAUAUACAAAGUAUCAUGACAGAAUCCUGGCUUCCAUAAAGGGUAAUAAGAAGUUAAUUUUUAUUGAAGCACCAGCAAGAAUUAAUGACUUUAUCGAACCUGAUCAACAAAAACUGCCAGGAGCUACACUUUCUCUGGACGAGGAUCUCAAAGUUUUCAAUAAUGCUCUUAAACUUUCUCAUAAAGACACAAAAGUGGCAAUAAAGGUUGGGCCGACAGCUAUACAAAUAACAUCUUCUGAGAAGACUAAAGUUUUAUCGCAUUCAGUCCUGCUUAAUGAUGUUUAUUAUGCAUCUGAAAUUGAAGAAGUUUGCCUUGUAGAUGAUAACCAGUUUACUUUAACAAUAGCAAAUGAAUCUGGUCCUCUUUCUUUCAUACAUAACGAUUGUGAUAGUAUUGUGCAGGCAAUCAUUCAUAUCCGAAAUAGAUGGGAGUUGUCACAACCUGAUUCUGUCACCGUCCAUCAAAAGAUAAGGCCGAAGGAUGUGCCAGGCACUCUUCUUAACAUGGCUUUUCUGAAUUUAGGAUCGUCUGAUCCAAGCUUGAGGACUGCUGCUUAUAAUCAGCUGUGUGCCCUUACAGCAACAUUCGACUUAAAAAUAGAAGGACAGCUGUUGGAAACUUCCGGCCUGUGUAUUCCAUCCAACAAUACAAUUUUUAUCAAAUCUGUUAGUGAAAAGUUAGCUACUAAUGAACCACAUUUAACCUUGGAAUUUCUCGAAGAAUGUAUACAAGGCUUCCGAGUGUCCACUAUAGAACUUAAACAUUUGUGUUUGGAAUAUAUGACUCCCUGGCUUCCUAACCUGGUUAGAUUUUGUAAACCAGCUGAUGAAAACAAAAGGCAACAAAAAGUAGUGCAGAUUUUGGAAAAAUUGAUAUUAUUAACUGUCGAAGAAGUUGAAAUGUAUCCUUCAAUUCAGGCAAAAAUUUGGGGAUCAAUUGGGCAGGUCCCAGAGCUUAUUGAUAUGGUACUCGAUAGUUUUAUAAAGAAAUCGAGUGAUGGUGGAUUCGCUUCUCCUGUGGCGGAAAUACUGGCUGAUACUGCUGUAGCAUUAGCUUCUGCCAAUGUACAACUAGUGGCAAAGAAAUUCAUUGGGCGACUGUGUAGGGUUCUUGACAAAACAUGUACAUCGCCUACACCAUUACUUGAAAACAACGUGCUAUGGGAUGACAUUGCAAUCCUUGCACGAUAUUUGUUGAUGUUAUCAUUCAACAACUGUUUAGAUGUUGCAAGACACCUUCCAUACCUAUUUCAUGUCGUGACAUUCCUUGUUUGCUCAGGAUCAACCAGUAUGCGUGCUUCAAUGCAUGGGUUGGUUAUAAAUAUAAUCCAUUCCCUCUGUACUUGCACUAAACCAACCUUUACGGAGGAAGCACAGCGAGUACUGAGAUUAAGUUUAGACGAAUUCUCACUACAAAAAUUUUAUCUACUCUUUGGUAUAAGCAAAGUUAAAUCUGCUGCUGUAUCGGCAUUCAGAUCUAGCUAUAGACACCCUAAUGAUGGAAGGCUACAGUCCGAAAGAUAUUUGUUAGGGAUGGUACCAGACAGGGAAAAAAUUGCGUUAACAUCCCUUGAAAUAAUAACUGACGCCCUUCUUGAAAUUAUGGAGGCUUGCAUGAGAGAUAUUCCUGAUUGUGAAUGGUUGAACACAUGGACUUCUCUAGCGAAAAACUUUGCAUUCUUUCACAACCCUGCCCUUCAGCCGAGAGCUUUAAUAGUAUUUGGGUGUAUAUCAAAAAGCAUAACUGAUCAAGACAUCAAACAACUAUUAAGGAUUCUAGUUAAAGCACUAGAAAAUUUCAAUGAUACUGUUCUUCUUGAGGCUCUUGUUAUGUGUCUAACGAGAUUGCAGCCUUUGUUGAGACCGGAAUCCCCAAUCCAUAAAUUUUUAUUCUGGGUCGGUGUAUCAGUACUUCAAUUGGAUCAGCUUACGCUUUUUGCAUCCGGCCUUGCAUUACUUGAGCAAAAUUUACAUACUUUAGAUUCUCAAGGGACGUUUGAUGAAAAGCCUCUAGAAGCUGUAAUGAUGGCAACUCGUGAACCCUUGGAGUGGCAUUUUAAACAGCUCGACCAUGCGGUUGGCUUGAGCUUCAAAGCGAACUUCCAUUUUGCUUUGGUCGGUCAUCUUUUGAAGGGUUUCAGACAUCCCACACCUACUACGGUCUCACGAACAGCUAGAGUCCUCACAUCACUGUUAGGUAUCGUGGCUAAACCUCACAAAAGGGAUAAAUUUGAAGUUACACAAGACAGCGUAGCCUAUUUAGCAGCAUUAGUUGCUGUUUCUGAAGAAGUCCGUAGUCGCUGUCAUGUUAAACAUACAACCGUCAGACCAGAAGCACAUUUUAACAUGGUAACACAGUUGGGGUCUCUAUCUGGUGAAAAUCGAAGUGAAUCAUCUCUGCUGUCGAAUCAACGUCAGAAGUCUUGGGAUUUGAUGGAUCAGUCGAUAUCUAUUCAGAAUCGUGUUCACAAACAACAGUGUCAGGUAGGAUCAUCAUCAAUGGGUGCAAAUGAGAGUAGUGCUCCCAUUAAUAGUAAAGGAUGGCAUAGUUUGGAUCUUGGCUCACAGUUGCCCAAUCUUCAAGCUUCAAGGGCAGCAAAAUUCAGGACCCGAUUUAAAAGGUCUUCAUCUGUUCCAUCUCCCAACAGUGGUUCUCCUCAUGAUUCUGCUAAAAAUCGGAGCGCACGUGUAUCAGUUUCAAAUGAAAAUAACGUGCUGCUUGAUCCAGAAGUCUUAACAGAUCCAAGUGUCCAAGCACUUGUGUUGACAGUACUUGCAACACUUGUCAAGUAUGCCACUGACGAAAUGGAAAUUAGAAUUCUCUACCAGUACCUUGCAGAAGCUUCAGUUGUCUUUUCAAAAGUGUUUCCUGUGAUCCACUCAUUGUUGGACGGAAAAUUGACUAGUUUGCUCUCUACAUGCCAUGACCAAGUUCUUCUCAAUUCAGUGCAAAGUAUUAUUCAAAACAUGAUUGCUUGUGAAGAAACAAGCUUGCAACAAUUACAUUACUUGCAAUCUUGGGGGUUUGGAGGCCUUUGGAGAUUUGCUGGACCAUUUACAAAAAGCGUAUGCACUGCUGAAAGUGCAGAGCAUUUCGUCAAUUGCCUAGAAGCCAUGGUGGAAAUGUGCAUGCCAAUGGAAGAAGGGGAAUUAGAUAUAGCACAGUAUCCAUCUAUGUUAAGCGUAUCUUCCAACAUGAAUCUUUCAUCUUCUUUAUCCAGCUUAACAUUAGGCUCUCCAACUGAUAAAGAUUCGUUGUUGGAUGGAGAUGGGUCAAUUUCAAGAGGGACGUUCAAUAAAUGUCGUCCUCCGGGUAAAAAAAUGUCAGGUGAAUGAGAUUCACUAAGGCUCCUCAAACUGAACCUUAGCUGGUUGUGAGGAGCUGACAAAAAUUUCGGCAAAUUACGCCUAUGCAGCAGGUUCAAUUGAGUGACUCUUGAUCUAAUGGAGGAAUGAAAAAAUACACAAUGAUAUAUGAACACCACCUUUUGAAUAAAUGAAUAAGUUGAAACAAGAUUUAUUCAUAAGAAUAUAAAUAUGUAUUUAAAAAAAAAAUAUAACGACAAUAAUGAAAAAUAAAAUUGUACACAAAAAAGAUUUAACCUUCAAACAGUCGCACAGGGUAGAAAGUUAACCUAGCCCUUUUUUUUAAUUAUUUAUAUUUCUUUAAGUUUAUUGUUAUCAAACUGUAUAAGGGCCAGAUGGUAUAAACAUUUUUUUUAUUUACUAAUAACAACAAUUUUAUCACAGAAUUUGUAUUAAAAACUAUAAAUUUUAAAAUUAAUGAUAUAUAAGUUUUACAACAAUUUCACAAAACUGGGGGACCACAGUAGCUGAGUGGUCAGCUUGCUACACUCUCAACUCGUACACCACACAGUCGUGUGUUCAAUUCCCACCAUAAUUGUAUACUUUUUUCAUGCUCCCCUUCCCCCCUCAAAAAAAUACCCAUACCAUCAAUCUCCUCUCUCCCUGGCUACUAUGAAAGCCAUUUUAAAAAUCACAAAAAUAGGAAGAUAAAUAUUAUAUAUAUAUAUAUAUAUAUAUAUAUAUAUAUAUACACCCCAACAAAUUGCUCAGGUCAUCAUUGGCCCUUUGCCUAUUUGUACUUCUUUUCCUGAUCUUUCAUGCAUUUUUUCAACCUGCAGCCAUUUGAGCGUCUCGUUCUGUUACUGACUCUCUGCUUUUAUAUGACAAUUAAGUCGAUAUCUACAAAUAACCUCUCAUUUGUACCUCAGGUUCUCAUCUACAGAAUAGACACAAAAUAUACAAUACAUAUAUACAUACCAUCACCCGAUACAAGCAUAGAAGCCUCGUGUGACAUUCACUCCCCUCAAAAUUCCUUGAAGCGAGGUUAAACCCCGAAUUUUUUAACUAGAACUGAAAAACUAGAUUUUAAGAGGUAGAUUUGAAGCAUGACGUGGGCCAGCAUAAGGUAGAGCUACUUUGUAUUUCCAUUUUUGUAGUUUAGAAGGUUUUUGCACUACACAAUGCAGGAAGAUCUUUAUCUUGAUACCAUACUCAGUCGGUUUACUUUAUUAGGUUAAUCAGUGAGUAUACUCACGUCAUAAAAAUUAUAGGAAAAAUUAAUCAAAAAUGUCACAAAUUGCUGCUAUUUUUCCCUUUUCUUUUGAUGUGACUUCAAAUCGUAUAUGACAUCUGAAGAGAAACUUCCUAUUGCUCAAGGCAGUACGCGAAAAUUCCUGUACAGACAGAACUGGACAAAUCUGAAACAUUUAGCUGUCCAUACAAAAUUCCUAUUAGAAAUAUACAGACGAAUAUAACAAGCUGAAGAGUAUUUCACAGUAAACUUCUCCCUGAAUUAGAAAAUAAUUUGAAUAGUAAAAUAAGAAGUCCAAGAAAACGUAGAAGGUAUAAAUAGUUGACAGAGAAAAAAGUAUUAGAAUAAACGGUUUAAAAAAAAAAAAAAAAAAAAAAAAAAAAA
Cimex lectularius (bed bug) is the source of this 10116-nucleotide RNA transcript. It is a transcript of the gene named neurofibromin, with no coding region annotated. Lineage: Eukaryota; Metazoa; Arthropoda; Insecta; Hemiptera; Cimicidae. The record is from RefSeq and is a predicted model, not a curated record. The transcript is spliced from 54 exons.